This 303-nucleotide small nuclear RNA is filed under the name Erinaceus europaeus (western European hedgehog). RNAcentral's name for it is "7SK RNA". It matches the Rfam family "7SK RNA". Rfam says of the family: 7SK was discovered as an abundant small nuclear RNA in the mid-70s but a possible function has only recently been suggested. Two independent studies have found that 7SK RNA binds the CDK9/cyclin T complex (known as elongation factor P-TEFb). Lineage: Eukaryota; Metazoa; Chordata; Mammalia; Eulipotyphla; Erinaceidae. The record is from Rfam by way of RNAcentral.
AGAUGCGGGGGUGAUGUGGCAACAUCUGUCACCCCACUGAUUCCCAGGGUUGAUUCAGCUCAUCUGUGUGGCAAGGCCAGUGUCCCCUUCCUCCCUCGCCACUCCACGUGUGUCCUCCCCAAAGCUGCUUGCUUGACUAAAGAGGACCUUUCCCCAUACAGAUGGACAGGUCUUGGUAUAGAAGCAGCCACGCCUCCUGCUGAACCUCCAAACUAACUCUCUAGGUCUGUAAGUGAACUCAGCAAGAACACUCCCAGGGCUCCUGCAAGACAGCUCACCUGAAUGGCAUGCCUGCUUUCUCAU